UGAAAACUAAAGCCGAAUCCCUCGGAGAGCAAAGGCUCUCCAGGGGGCCGGGGAACCACUCGCUUCUGGGGUUUACCCCUCGGGAGAGUCUGGAACUUCUUAAGCCGCACUGAGCGGUGGGGAAGGAUCGGAUGGACUGAGGGGAGGAGCUUCCGUUUCCUCACUCGACAGCUAACCCGGUAGGCAUGACAGGAAGAUUUG
RNAcentral lists this small RNA (201 nucleotides) under Corynebacterium sp. Its description in RNAcentral is "c-di-AMP sequence". It matches the Rfam family "c-di-AMP riboswitch aptamer (ydaO/yuaA leader)". Rfam says of the family: This family represents a conserved RNA structure found upstream of the ydaO and yuaA genes in Bacillus subtilis and related genes in other bacteria. The ydaO/yuaA element is thought to act as a genetic "off" switch for the ydaO and yuaA genes in its native state. Lineage: Bacteria; Bacillati; Actinomycetota; Actinomycetes; Mycobacteriales; Corynebacteriaceae. The record is from RNAcentral. RNAcentral also lists the same sequence under 1 other name.